AAUUGAGGGGGGCUGCUCCUAGUACGAGAGGACCGGAGUGGACGCAUCACUGGUGUUCGGGUUGUCAUGCCAAUGGCAUUGCCCGGUAGCUACAUGCGGAAGAGAUAAGUGCUGAAAGCAUCUAAGCACGAAACUUGCCCCGAGAUGAGUUCUCCCUGAGACUUUAAGUCUCCUGAAGGAACGUUGAAGACGACGACGUUGAUAGGCUGGGUGUGUAAGUGCAGCGAUGCAUUGAGCUAACCAGUACUAAUGAACCGUGAGGCUUAACCUUACAACGCCAAAGGUGUUUUG
Molecule: ribosomal RNA, 291 nt
Filed under: Salmonella enterica
Lineage: Bacteria; Pseudomonadati; Pseudomonadota; Gammaproteobacteria; Enterobacterales; Enterobacteriaceae
Also listed under: 1 other name
Description: partial 23S ribosomal RNA
Rfam family: Bacterial large subunit ribosomal RNA
Source: RNAcentral